ACGAACGCUGGCGGCGUGCUUAACACAUGCAAGUCGAACGGUGAAGCGCCUUCCUUUUUGGUGGGUGUGGAUGAGUGGCGAACGGGUGAGUAACACGUGAGUAACCUGCCCCCUUCUUCUGGAUAACCGCAUGAAAGUGUGGCUAAUACGGGAUAUUCUGGGUCUGUCGCAUGAUGGGUCUGGGAAAGAUAUUGUUUCGGUGGGGGAUGGGCUCGCGGCCUAUCAGCUUGUUGGUGGGGUGAUGGCCUACCAAGGCGGUGACGGGUAGCCGGCCUGAGAGGGUGGACGGUCACACUGGGACUGAGACACGGCCCAGACUCCUACGGGAGGCAGCAGUGGGGAAUAUUGCACAAUGGGCGCAAGCCUGAUGCAGCGACGCCGCGUGAGGGAUGGAGGCCUUCGGGUUGAGAACCUCUUUCGCCAGUGAAGCAGGCCUGCCUCGUUUGUGGGUGGGUUGACGGUAGCUGGAGAAGAAGCGCCGGCUAACUACGUG
Molecule: ribosomal RNA, 493 nt
Filed under: uncultured bacterium
Lineage: Bacteria
Description: partial 16S ribosomal RNA
Rfam family: Bacterial small subunit ribosomal RNA
Source: RNAcentral